GUUACUGACUUUCACAUCAUCUUUGUACAAAUAUGUCUGGAUCUGGACUAACGUGUGCCGUAAUCGGAUGUCACAAUAACAGCAGAAAGCUAAAAAUGUGGAAAAAGAGCGUAUGUGCGCUUCAUAGUCCACAGUUUAAAGAGGAUUGUCCUUGUUGUGUGCCCUACGGUGUACACCGCUUCCCCGGCCGUGCUGAGGAUGAAGACAUUCGCAAGAUGUGGAUUAAAAACGUACACCGAAAGGACUUUGCCCCCAAACAAGUAUUCAAGGGUGUGUGGAGUACACUUCCCUGACGGCAGACCAACGCAGGAACACCCAUGAAUAUAGUAAAGCACCAUCAUGUGGAAGACCACCUCAAAGAGGAGAUGUCUCCAGCCCCCAACAGAGAGACCAUGUGAUGAGCCUCCUGUGACAGAUUCUGACACCGAAGUAGGGCAUAGCUUGGAGGAUAGUCUGUCUCCACACCAAUGUGAUGUUGGCACUCAGUGGCCAGAGCGUAGUGAUCAUGAUUAUUGUUCGAUGAAGUCAACAAAAGAUGCAAGCACACAAACAGAUCCUACACCAUCACUGUCAGCUCAUGACAUGGAUGAUAAAGUGUCAAAAUUUUACACUGGACUAGACAUCAUCAGCUUUUGGCAACUUUUGAACACCAUCAUUGGCUUUCUUCCACAGUCGAAGACGUUCAAAUUACCAGUCCAUGAACAGCUACUGCUGGUCCUAAUGAGGCUUCGGCUUGGCUACAGCCUGUGAUAUGUUCGCAAUGUGGAGAGCAACACUUGCCAAUUUCACAAGGGAAAAUCUUAUGUUUUGGCUCCCUCGAGACACUCUGAAUAGAGUAAGACCCUCAAGUUUUCUUGAACACUAUCCCAAUGCAACAUGCAUCAUAGAUUGCACUGAAAUAUUUGUCCAAAGACCGAAGAACUUGGGGAAAAGAGCAAAAACAUACAGCAACUAUAAGCAUCACAACACCUACAAAGUCCUCUAUUGCAUAGCCCCCAAUGGUUUUGUGAUGUAUGUGUCAAAACUGUUUGGUGGCAGAGCUAGUGACACUUUUAUCACAAACUGUGGAUUUCUGUCACAUUUGAUUUUUGGUGAUCAGAUUUUGACAGACCGGGGAUUCACAAUUGGAGAUGUUCUUCCUCCAGGAGUGACAUUGGCUAUUCCAGCAUUUACACGUGGAUGUACACAACUAUCAGAACAUGAAGUCACAAGAACCCGCUGUCUCGCCAAUGUCCGAAUUCAUGUUGAACGUGCAAUAAGAAGGUUAAAAUGCUUCAAAAUUUUGAGUAAUGUAAUUUCAGGUUGAUUAAAACAUGUUGAUGACAUUUUGA
Engraulis encrasicolus (European anchovy) is the source of this 1331-nucleotide long non-coding RNA. RefSeq lists it as uncharacterized. NCBI's taxonomy places the organism in Eukaryota, Metazoa, Chordata, Actinopteri, Clupeiformes, Engraulidae. The transcript has 3 exons. The record is from RefSeq and is a predicted model, not a curated record.